Molecule: ribosomal RNA, 450 nt
Filed under: uncultured bacterium
Lineage: Bacteria
Description: partial 16S ribosomal RNA
Rfam family: Bacterial small subunit ribosomal RNA
Source: RNAcentral
GUGGGGAAUCUUCCGCAAUGGACGAAAGUCUGACGGAGCAACGCCGCGUGAGUGAUGAAGGUCUUCGGAUUGUAAAGCUCUGUUAAUCGGGACGAAAGAGCCUAGUGUGAAUAAUGCUAGGAAGUGACGGUACCGGAAUAGAAAGCCACGGCUAACUACGUGCCAGCAGCCGCGGUAAUACGUAGGUGGCAAGCGUUGUCCGGAAUUAUUGGGCGUAAAGCGCGCGCUGGCGGAUCUGCCAGUCUGUCUUAAAAGUUCGGGGCUUAACCCCGUGAUGGGAUGGAAGCUACAGAUCUAGAGUAUCGGAGAGGAAAGUGGAAUUCCUAGUGUAGCGGUGAAAUGCGUAGAUAUUAGGAAGAACACCAGUGGCGAAGGCGACUUUCUGGCCGAAAACUGACGCUGAGGCGCGAAAGCCAGGGGAGCGAACGGGAUUAGAUACCCUUGUAGUCC